Molecule: non-coding RNA, 104 nt
Filed under: Gemmatimonas aurantiaca
Lineage: Bacteria; Pseudomonadati; Gemmatimonadota; Gemmatimonadia; Gemmatimonadales; Gemmatimonadaceae
Also listed under: 1 other name
Description: TPP sequence
Rfam family: TPP riboswitch aptamer (THI element)
About the family: Vitamin B(1) in its active form thiamin pyrophosphate (TPP) is an essential coenzyme that is synthesised by coupling of pyrimidine and thiazole moieties in bacteria. The previously detected thiamin-regulatory element, thi box was extended, resulting in a new, highly conserved RNA secondary structure, the THI element, which is widely distributed in eubacteria and also occurs in some archaea.
Source: RNAcentral
GGCACAUGACCGGGGUGCCGGCGCCGCCAGUGUGCGCAGGCUGAGAGAGUCCCGUAGAACCUGAUCCGGUUCGUACCGGCGUAGGGAGUCCAAUCUGAUGUCUC